This 141-nucleotide ribosomal RNA is filed under the name Parmelia adaugescens. RNAcentral describes it as "5.8S ribosomal RNA". It matches the Rfam family "5.8S ribosomal RNA". From Rfam's summary of the family: 5.8S ribosomal RNA (5.8S rRNA) is a component of the large subunit of the eukaryotic ribosome. It is transcribed by RNA polymerase I as part of the 45S precursor that also contains 18S and 28S rRNA. Functionally, it is thought that 5.8S rRNA may be involved in ribosome translocation. Lineage: Eukaryota; Fungi; Ascomycota; Lecanoromycetes; Lecanorales; Parmeliaceae. RNAcentral also lists the same sequence under 2 other names. The record is from RNAcentral.
AUCUCUUGGUUCCAGCAUCGAUGAAGAACGCAGCGAAAUGCGAUAAGUAAUGUGAAUUGCAGAAUUCAGUGAAUCAUCGAAUCUUUGAACGCACAUUGCGCCCCUUGGUAUUCCGAGGGGCAUACCUGUUCGAGCGUCAUU